GGCAGAUCUUCGACAACCUCCUGGACUGGCAGGAGCAGUACAUUCACGAGAACUACAGCCGGGCCCUGGAAGGGCAGGGACUUGUGGAGCAGCCGUGUCCAGACGUGUAUUGGUUCCCGCUGCUGUCAGACCAGAUGUGUGACGAGCUGGUGGAGGAAAUGGAGCAUUAUGGCCAGUGGUCAGGAGGCGGGCAUGAGGACUCCAGGCUGGCCAGAGGCUAUGAGA
Long non-coding RNA from Hyaena hyaena (striped hyena), 225 nucleotides. RefSeq lists it as uncharacterized. Lineage: Eukaryota; Metazoa; Chordata; Mammalia; Carnivora; Hyaenidae. The transcript is spliced from 4 exons. The record is from RefSeq and is a predicted model, not a curated record.